Microdochium bolleyi is the source of this 73-nucleotide transfer RNA. It matches the Rfam family "tRNA". Rfam says of the family: Transfer RNA (tRNA) molecules are approximately 80 nucleotides in length. Their secondary structure includes four short double-helical elements and three loops (D, anti-codon, and T loops). NCBI's taxonomy places the organism in Eukaryota, Fungi, Ascomycota, Sordariomycetes, Xylariales, Microdochiaceae. The record is from Rfam.
GCCCUCGUAGAGAAAUGGUUAACUCGCCGGAUUCCUAAUCCGGAGAUUGUCGGUUCGAGUCCGACCGGGGGUG